Molecule: long non-coding RNA, 352 nt
Filed under: Durio zibethinus
Lineage: Eukaryota; Viridiplantae; Streptophyta; Magnoliopsida; Malvales; Malvaceae
Description: long non-coding RNA (DZIB_LNC002422)
Source: RNAcentral
GAUCAAAUACACUUAAAUUGUUAACUAUUGUCUUUAGAAUCUAGAUCAAUUCAUUGUUUUAUUGCAAUAAUUUAAAUUAUCAAUCAAAGUAAAAUCCCUUGCUUGUUUUUGGAGUAAAUGUAUAUAAAAAGAACAAAGCAAAAUAUAUAUUCCUUUCUUCUUUUUUACUUUCUUUCUUUCUUUUCCGUUGUCACAUUCAAGCUAAAAAAAGUGUAUACAACCCGGCAAAAAAAAUCAUUGUUAAUAUGAAUGUUUAUAAGAAGAAAAGCAUUAAUAACUAGUGUCGGUGUUUUAAAGUUUUGAGUUGUUAAUAAAUAUUAAAAAAAAAAAAGGAAAGAAAAGAAUAAAGCCG